AGAUCUGGAGAGCUAAACCCCAAAUCUCCUAUCCUCCUCUCUUCUUAGCACCGGAGCUCUGCGCCGCCACAUACGCCGCCGCACGCGUCGUUUCCGGCGUUUGAAAAAUUAUGUUGGAGCCUUCGCAAGUGUGGUGUCACUACCUCAAGCUAUGAUGCAGACAGGUGGUUUUGAAUAUUUUAAGGAAAAUUUCCCUACUAUCUUGAUUGAAAUCUUGGCGUAUGUGGCUAGAGUUAGUGAACACUCUGUCAUCCAAUGCCAGCAUGGAAAUGAAGCCUAAAAAUCAUUUAUUUUGGAGAACAAUUGAAUCAGCAAAAGUCACUUCCUAGAUUUGGUUUUCUAUUUAAAUAACUGUGGAGGGGAUAAAGCCCUGAAAUGAGGAAAUUUUAUAUUUGAACUUUCUCUACUUCUUGCU
Molecule: long non-coding RNA, 415 nt
Organism: Quercus robur (English oak)
Lineage: Eukaryota; Viridiplantae; Streptophyta; Magnoliopsida; Fagales; Fagaceae
Exons: 2
Source: RefSeq, a predicted model, not a curated record